AUGAACGCUGGCGGCGUGCCUAAUACAUGCCAGUCGAGCGAACGGACGAGAAGCUUGCUUCUCUGAUGUUAGCGGCGGACGGGUGAGUAACACGUGGAUAACCUACCUAUAAGACUGGGAUAACUUCGGGAAACCGGAGCUAAUACCGGAUAAUAUUUUGAACCGCAUGGUUCAAAAGUGAAAGACGGUCUUGCUGUCACUUAUAGAUGGAUCCGCGCUGCAUUAGCUAGUUGGUAAGGUAACGGCUUACCAAGGCAACGAUGCAUAGCCGACCUGAGAGGGUGAUCGGCCACACUGGAACUGAGACACGGUCCAGACUCCUACGGGAGGCAGCAGUAGGGAAUCUUCCGCAAUGGGCGAAAGCCUGACGGAGCAACGCCGCGUGAGUGAUGAAGGUCUUCGGAUCGUAAAACUCUGUUAUUAGGGAAGAACAUAUGUGUAAGUAACUGUGCACAUCUUGACGGUACCUAAUCAGAAAGCCACGGCUAACUACGUG
Molecule: ribosomal RNA, 496 nt
Filed under: uncultured bacterium
Lineage: Bacteria
Description: partial 16S ribosomal RNA
Rfam family: Bacterial small subunit ribosomal RNA
Source: RNAcentral